ACACUAUGUAAGAAGAAUUAUGGUUUGAACUACGUAACAAUUACCUAGACAUCUUUUGGACUUCAGUUAACCUGUGUCAAGCACUGCAGUAGAUUCUGAAGAUACAAAAAUAAAUAAAACAUUCCUGCCCUCAAGACACUUACACUCUUAUGUGUAACACUGUGUGACCAUUCAUCUGGGCCUUCCUGAGACAGUCUUGGUUUACACCUGUUUUCCCAAUAGCAUCACUGCCUUUCCCACUAUUCUCCUGCAGAAGAGCAGGGGAAGGAAGCACCAGGGUCCAUCAUGGAGGCCUGGUUGAAGAUGGCUGAGCGUAAAACAGAAUGCAAGUCAGCUGGAGCACGUACUACUGGAGGCAGAGCCCCAUGAGAAGGGGCCAAGAACCCGCACCCAUCAAAAUCAAGAAGAAAGGCUGAACCCGGAGAGAAAAGGGAGCAACUGAUGUUGCCAUGCAGAUCCCUUGGUUGCUAUGAGAUGGUAACAUCACUCUGCCCCACCAUUGGCCAGUGCCUCCUCAGCUGCGGUGCCUCCCAGGCUGUGUGGUUCUCACGCGGGCCACUGACACAGAGCUGUUACUAUGGUGAACUUUACAAUUUCCUUUGAUUGGUGGAUUUCAGAAAUAGGCCAUCAGCGGAAUUCAUUAUAUUCAGCUAAGUAAAAAUGAAAAAUAAAUACUAUAACUUUCCCCUCAUCACUAACAUGAAGGAAACGUGACCCUUCAUGACAUAAUAAAUCGCUGUUCGGUAACUUAGGAUCCUUCAGGGGACUGAAGCGGGAUGAUCCUCCUAUGCCAAAUUUGGGUGGGAAAGAUAUUCCCUGUAGCUUUGAGUCGACUCUUCAGAGUUAAGGGCAGUGGGCCAACCAGAGUUGGAACUUCAGAGUUGGGAGGAGGUGUGGGAUGGGGCAUGCAUUGAAAUGUAAACUCUAUUGUCUCUGAAGUGAUGGGUGAUGCUGGGGGCCUGAGUGUGGAGGGCAGUUUUACAUCUCAGGACAAUGUUUUCUCAGAUGCUCUUCCAGAAAGAAAAGCCAGGAGUACUCCUGGCUGGAGGCGGCAUGCCUGAGGUCAGAGUCAAAGUAGGGUUUGUGCUGUCUGAAUCCUUUCUCCCACUCUCCCCAGCCUGGCUCAGCUUCUCAGCUUCUCAGGUGGAUUGGUGAGUCCUGGCCAAUUACGCUUCAGCUCAUCUCUACUCUCAGCAAAUAGGAAAAGGGAGUGAAGGACUGAGUUUUAACUCUUCUAAUUUCGUAACCUGACUCUCUAUAAGAAAAAGUAGGAGAAAGACUGAAGAACCCGAGAGAACAGGCCUCUGAGCCCAAGCCAAGCCAUCGCAUCCCCUGUGACUUGCCCGUAUAUAUGCCCAGAUGGCCUGAAGUAACUGAAGAAUCACAAAAGAAGUGAAUAUGCCUUGCCCCACCUUGACUGAUGACAUUCCACCACAAAAGAAGUGUAAAUGGCCGGUCCUUGCCUUAACUGAUGACAUUACCUUGUGAAAGUCCUUUUCCUGGCUCAUCCUGGCUCAAAAAGCACCCCCACUGAGCAUCUUGCGACUCCCACUCCUGCCCACUGAGCACCUUGUGACCCCCACUCCUGCCUGCCAGAGAACAAACCCCCUUUGACUGUAAUUUUCCUUUACCUACCCAAAUCCUAUAAAACGGCUCCACCCUUAUCUCCUUUUGCUGACUCUCUUUUCUGACUCAGCCCGCCUGCACCCAGGAGAUUAAAAGCUUUAUUGCUCACACAAA
Long non-coding RNA from Homo sapiens (human), 1740 nucleotides. The record is from Ensembl. Lineage: Eukaryota; Metazoa; Chordata; Mammalia; Primates; Hominidae.